AUUCAGCUGAUGAGUCCCAAAUAGGGUGAAACGUGCGUCUUGGAU
This is a non-coding RNA of Schistosoma haematobium, 45 nucleotides long. The record is from Rfam. NCBI's taxonomy places the organism in Eukaryota, Metazoa, Platyhelminthes, Trematoda, Strigeidida, Schistosomatidae.